RNAcentral lists this long non-coding RNA (1492 nucleotides) under Triticum aestivum (bread wheat). RNAcentral describes it as "long non-coding RNA (TAES_LNC003216)". Lineage: Eukaryota; Viridiplantae; Streptophyta; Magnoliopsida; Poales; Poaceae. The record is from RNAcentral.
GCAGUCCAGCCGCUACAAGUCGAAAGUUGUGCUUGGUAAUAGCGCCAUUGGCACGAUGCGGUCGAUAUAUGACAUGUCAGACCGCAAUAGCGGUCCUUUGUGUAGCGCUGGUUGAGGUCAUAGCGGAAAGCUUAAAAAAUUUAGACCACAAAUCCUCUUAUCCCAUCCCCUUCUCCUGGCGAUGGGCGGCAGUGCGGCUAACGCCAGAGGCCGGACGGAGAGGCAAAUCAAGGCACACCAUCACUAGAUGCCGCCAUUCCCCUAGGCCCAUCUUCCCCUGCCGGACUUUGAGCGAGCAGCCAGCACAACGGCCACCUCCUCGCUCCUGCUCGACGCCCUUCCAUGGUUGACGAUGAGCUAGUGCGGGAUGACACGGUGAGCCGGCAGGUAGUACAUCACUGGGACAGCGGUACUCAAGCUCAAUGCCCAUGUCCCCUCGAUGGUCCCUGCUCGACGUCGUACUGGUAGACGUCCCUAUCCAUAAGGUCUGCACCUCCUCACUUGGCGACCUCUUCAGUCGGGCUGCUAACCUUUUCUCUGGUCUUUGUUUCUACUGAUCGUUCAUAGUACAUCCGAUAGCUCAGCUUUUCUCCGAUCAAUGCACUUACUGUAGUAGGCUUAGUCCAUUCGAUGCACUUACCUUUUCUCUGAUCGAUGCACUUACAGAGUUACAGUUAGUCUAUUCGAUGCAUAACUUAGUACUAGUAGUCAGUACUUAAUAGAAAAAAUUCCUCAUGGUAGCAGUAGCACUUGCAGUUACAGUAGACAAAAUUAGGAGGAGCUCAGAUUGUAGAAUAGUUCAUAAUCUCGUUGGUGGCACUAGCACAAGAAGAAACUUACAUUCCUAUCUGCAUUCGAUAGCUCAGCUCACAGAACAAUACAUAGUUAUUAUACAGUUGUGCCUCAUGUUCCAUUUCUGUUUUAUAUAGCUAACAAAACUUGCACAGUAUUGUCUUUGUAAAUUAUGUUUAGUCGUAAUUUUGUUUUGUACUGGGCUACUCGCAGUUGUAAAUUCAUUUUGCUUGCAAUUUCUUUUGUACUGUAUCAACAAAUUCAGUUUACUGGCAAACAAAUCAACUAUCUGCACUUGUAAUUUAGUCAAAUACCACAAGUUUGUUUCUUUUUUCUGCAGUGGUAAUUCAGUCAACUAUCUCCACUUGUAAUUAAGAAGACCAAGAAGUGGACAUGGAUCUGAAUGGAGAAGAGGAUGAGGAUGGCGAAUGACUUGUGCUUCUUCCAUGAUCAGAACUAGAUCCGUUUAUUAUUGUGUGAUGGUCAUGGUCUGACUUGUAUGAUUGGUUGGUAGUUUUUGUUUGCAUGGUUACAUGGUUGAAUAUUGUACAGAUGGACCAGUUGUAGUCUAUAUAUGUUGUGUCAUCCUAAUAGUUUUUGUUUGCAUGGUUGAAUAUUGUCUGGAUGGACUAGUUACAGUCUAUAUGAUUAUGCUUAUAUAAGUGAUGAUUGUUCAAUUAAAGUGUCAUAUUGUUGUCAA